This 90-nucleotide transfer RNA is filed under the name Candidatus Lloydbacteria bacterium CG22_combo_CG10-13_8_21_14_all_47_15. Its description in RNAcentral is "tRNA-Ser". It matches the Rfam family "tRNA". Rfam says of the family: Transfer RNA (tRNA) molecules are approximately 80 nucleotides in length. Their secondary structure includes four short double-helical elements and three loops (D, anti-codon, and T loops). The record is from RNAcentral. Lineage: Bacteria; Candidatus Lloydiibacteriota.
GGAGAGGUGGCUGAGUGGUCGAAGGCACCGCACUCGAAAUGCGGCGUCCGGGUAACCGGACCGUGGGUUCGAAUCCCACCCUCUCCGCCA